Molecule: long non-coding RNA, 12116 nt
Organism: Falco peregrinus (peregrine falcon)
Lineage: Eukaryota; Metazoa; Chordata; Aves; Falconiformes; Falconidae
Exons: 4
Source: RefSeq, a predicted model, not a curated record
GCCCAGCUCUGAACAUGCUCCAGCCCCUCAGCAUCCCCCCUGCAGCGAGGGGCCCAAUCCCGCACACAGGGUUCCAGAUGCGGCUGCACCAGUGCCCAGUGCAGGUCACUGCCCUGGCCUUGCUGGCCACACUGUUUUGGACACAAGCCAGGAUGCUGUUGGCCUCCCUGGCCACCUGGUCACACUGCUGGCUCACGUUCAGCCGGCUGCCAGCCAUCACCCCAAGGUCCUUUUCUGCUGGGCAGCUUUCCAGCCACUCUUAGAAGAGAAAAGAGAAUAGAAGUGAGAAGAAUAUUUUCAGUUGGAAGGCUCCUACAAUGAUUAACUAGUCCAGCUGCCUGACCACUUCAGGGAUGAUUAAAAGUUCAAGCAUAGUAGUAAGGGCAUUGUCCAAAUGCCAGCCCGUACAGGCAGAGGAUUGAUAAAUAUAUUGAACAGCACUGGCCCUAGGACUGAGCCCUAAGGAGCACUGCUAGUGACCAGUUGCCAUCUAGAUGUAACCCCAUUCUCUACAAGUCUUUGGGCCCUGCCCUUCAGCCAGUUCUUCACCCAGUGGACUUGCUCAUCUCACAGUUGGACACCUUGUCCAGAAGAAUGCUGUGAAGGACUAUAUCAGAAGCCUUACUAAAAUCCAGAAAAACAACAUCCACUGCCUUGCCUUAAGCCACUAGGUGGGUAACCGUAUUACAGAAGGAUAUCAGAUCAGUUAAACAGGACUCUCUCUCUGUGAACCCUUGCUGACUGUUGUUGACAAUUGCAUUAUUCUUUAAAUGCCUUUCAACAGUACCCAAUAUAAUCUUCUCCAUAUUUUUUCCAGAAACUGAGGUUAGACUAACAGGUCUGUAGUUUCCUGGGUCUUCCAUGAUGGCCCUUCUUGUAAAUUGGGAUAACACUGGCUAGCUUCCAGUCAGCGGGGACAUCCCUACACUCACAAAAAGGAAGCCUGGGCUGCCAUUCAGCGAGGCCUGGACAGGCUGGAGAGCUGGCUGGAGAGGAAUCUCAUGAAGUUCAACCAAGGCAAGUGCAGGGUCCUGUCCCUGGGGAGGGAAAGCCCCACGCACCGGCACAGGAUGGACUGACCUGCUGGGCGGCAGCUCUACGGAGAAGGUACUGGGAGUGCUGGUGGGCAGCAAGUUGCCCAUGGGCCAGCAGUGUGCCCUCGUGGCCAAGGGGCCAGUGGCACCCUGGGGUGCAUGAGGAGGAGUGUGGCCAGCAGGUCGGGGGAGGUGAUCCUCCCCUUCUCUGCCCUGGGGAGGCACAUCUGGAGUGCUGUGUCUGGUGCUGGGCUCCCCAGUUCCAGAGGGAGCUACUGGAGAGGGGCCAGUGGAGGCUACAAAGAUGAUGAGGGGAUGGAGCAUCUCCCCUGUGAGGAAAGGCUGAGACAGCUGGGCCUGUCCAGCCUGGGGAGGACUGAAAGGAGACCUUAUCAAUGCCUACAGAUCCCUUCAGGGCGAGUGCCAAGAGGACGGGGCCAGGCUCUUCUCAGCGGUGCCCAGCGACAGGACACGGGGCAACGGGCACAAGCUGCAGGACAGGAGGUUCCAUCCGAAUACGAGGAAAAACGUCUUGAUGUGCGGGUGCCAGAGCGCUGGGACAGGCUGCCCGGAGGGGCUGCGGAGUCUCCUUCCCUGGGACAUUCCAAACGCACCUGGACGCGCCUGUGCAGCCAGCCCGAGGUGACCCUGCUUCAGCAGGGCUUGGGCUGGGUGCUCUCCAGGGGUCCCUUCCCACCCCCACCCCUCUGGGGUUCUGUGAGAUGGAUAGUCAUUGUUCCCUCAGUCGUGGUACUCCAACUCAGCAGAUGAGGAAGCCCAAGGUCUAUCAGUAUUAUUAAAAACUGAAGCAAAAAAAGCAUUGAAUAAUAUAAAUCCACUCUUACCGUCAGUUAAGCUGUAGGGGAUGAAGGGAGUAACAAAACUCCUUUCUUCUAGUGUGGGAAACUAUUCUCUUGACAUAUCAGACUGAUUGCUUUGGCGACUGUACAUCCUGUGAUAGAGGAGGAGUUUAAAAUGGCAAGUAAUUGGGGAGAAAAUGGUAAGAGUGGAUUUAUUUGAGGAAAUUAUGCUAUUGGCAUGGCUUUUCACUCACUGUCUGAGCCAGGCUCAGGGAAGGGGUGGGGAAAAGUACUGUUUGCAAGCAGUUGCAAUUGUUGCCCAUGAGAAUCAAAAUGUCCUUGAUUUGCCUGCUGAAUUUUUCCAUGAGUAAAAUGGGAUCAAGCAAUGUUCUUUCUCCAGACUGCUUUCUAUUUUACUGUACGUCCCCGCAGAGGAACACCACAACUACAGAUGGAGUGCUGCUCCAGCGCUCCUGAAGGACGUUAUCUCAAAAGCCUGGACUCAGAUUUUAAGAAGGUUGCAAAAUGCUUCACAAAGAGAAGUCAGCAUCAUUACAAAUAGGGAAAAGGAGAGAGAGUGGUGAAGUGACCUUUAUAUGGAAAUGCAGUGAUGGAAACAGGCAAGAUUUGCUGAUUCCUAACCACUUUCCGUGCAGCUACAGAUAUGAACUCUGAGUCCCAUGAACAGAAACUCCACAAACCCACAUGUAACUAAUUAGUAUGAAUCUCAAAGUUGCCUGCAUGCUCUGGUUUUCCUCUACAAAACAAAGCAGUUUGUGUGUUAGGGUUAAGUCUGUUAACGACUCAGUCCCCUCCUGAAUGCUUUGACGGAAGAGUAUGAUGGCUUAGGUCUGGUUACAUGCAAUAGAAAGGACUGAGGAGACAGCAAACAAGUAAUCCUUACUCAUUUGGUCUCCUCCAGUGGAGGUAUGAGGUUUGGUUUUCAAGAUGCAUGGUUGCUGUGCUGGAUGACAGUGUAACAGUGCUACCAUUUGAACAUACACAGUGGGAAAAAAAUCCAUCAACAUAUCUAAAGAGUGGCUACAAUUUGCAGCUGUGCAGUUUUUCUGCUGGCAAAUUGCAAAUUAAAUGAAAUGAAAACUGCAUGGCACAAUUCCCUACAUGCAAGUACAAACUGGAGCUAAUCCAUCAGUUUCUAGGAGUUCUUUGGCUCUGACAGAAGAUAGCAGAGACCGGGGUAUGCACCUAUUGCUGGCCUUCAGCUGGAAGUACGCAGGAUCAAAGAAAUCAUGUGGAAUAAGGACGGGAAUGUGGAAUACUGCUGUAAUUCUGGAUAUUUGUUCUUAUUUCAACUAUUUCAAUUUUUUUUUUCAUCUUUGUGCUUUGGUUUUUCUUUUAAUAGCUCUGGGAAAGGUUCUGGUUUCUUUCUUUCCCUUGGGCAAGGAGAAAGGCAGAGGAAUGUAAUGACCUUUAAUGCCUCCCUAGGAUCUCUGCAGUGCCUCUGGGGCUGGCAGGCAGAAAUGCGAUGGUAAAAACUUCAUUUGUUCAGACCCGUAUAGGCAUUUUCAGCAGCAGCCUCCCUGGCCGAUUGCGCAGGCGGCUGACCAGAACUCUGUGCCAGUGCCAGACUGGGACAGGCCACUGCAACUACAAAUCGGGGUCCUAGUGGGGACACAGCUUCUAGUGAAAAAAAAAAAAAAAUAAAAAAUUCCAGUCUCAUUGGGUUUGGAUGAAAAUUAUCUUUAUUAUAAUUAUUAUAUUUAUAAAAUAAUGUAUUAACAUAUAGUAAUAUAUUAUAUAUUUAACAACAACAAUAAUAAUAAUAAUAUAAAAACAUUCAUACCGUAUGCAAAUGGUGGUCAUCAGAAUACUUUAAGAACUUGAGAAUUUACAUGAUGUGUAGAGGUAGAAGCUACUCACCUCAACUGAAACAUAACUGUCUUUGUGAUGAAACCACAAAUCUCUUGCUCGAUGAGCUGCCUAGUAGCCUGAAGGUGCUUGCAGGGGUAGUGGGCACCGCAGUUCCCUCCUCUUACGGGUUUAACAACGGGGAUGGAGCAGCCCCUUGCAGCUGUAUCUUCUGAGUCUCCACCAUGUAGGUAAGUGGAACCAAUUGGAUCUUCCAAGUUGUAGCGUUUGAUUAGUGGUAAUCUAGACAUUUCUUUACUAAUGUGUAGAAGCAUAUGCUACUUUUAGAUGUAUUUUCUUUGUACCUUCAGAAAGAGAAAGAAAUUCAUUUAGGAAAUGAGAUCAUGACCAACUGGCUACAAAAGAAAGAGGAGGCUUCCAGGAUAAAGUUUCUAAAAGUAUGAGCUGGAAGGUGUUUCAAGUUAACUGGAACAAAGAUGAACAAUGUCCUGACUGCAGGUUGAUGCCACCACCCGAGGAGGCACUCUUCUGUCGCAGAGGGGAAUGAAGGGGCUGGCAGGGAUCCCAAGGUAAGGUGCACGUACAGCUUGCUGCAACAGAUUGGCUCUUCAGAAUGGACAGCCUGACCAGCUGCUAUGCGCAGCACAGGGCAAAAUCCAGAGCUCCAUCUUCUCUACUUUUGCUGCCUAUUUGAGUCAACAAGCAGCUGAUUAUGAUAUCUAAAAAUGGUGCGUCUGCACUAUGUACUGGUGUGUCCCCCACUGCGCAUGACGGGUAGGUGACAUCUGUUCUUAUGGUAAGUGGGAAGACAGAAAUCUGGACUCCCAUCCUUAGGAAAUCAGUCACUGUGGCUUUUUUUAAUUUGAUGGUUUGUUUUAAAAAAUGCUCAGAAGUGGUUUGUCACGAGCUAUGGAACAGUUUGAUGUCCUACUGACCCCUGUUUUGGAUUUUUUUUUCCCCAGUAACAAAAAAUUAGGGUCGAUUUCUGUUGUGUUGCCCAAAAUGUCCUCUCAUUGUAUUUGUCUUAUCUAUACUCUUAACAUUCAGACUACACCCAAUAUGGACAGCCCUUCUCACUGCCUGUAGAAGGAAAACCAGCUUCUUAGCAGCUUACAGCCUGUUCAGACCAAUCUCUUCUUUGCAGUGCCCAACUUUCUUUCAGUAGAAAAAAUCAAGUUUACAGGCAUCCUAGCCAAGCUUCCUGUGUUGAGAGCGUGUGUUUGUACCUCCACAUGCCCUUCUGCUGGUGCGAUACCUAAACAUUUCGAGGAAAAAGAAACUCCAGCUGUAAACUGAACUGCACUACUUGUAUGCUAUUGCUUGGCACGUUUCUUUAAAAGGGGUUGCUAAAGCCAGCAGCAUUGGUGCAGACCGAGCUAUUGGUGUCAGCCACCAGCUACAAUCUGUUAGUGGUUUUGAACCACAGAAUUUCUUAGAACAGAAAAGGAACUCAUGAACAAUUCUGGUUAGCAUGAACUAGGUCAUCAGACCUUUUCCCUGGCUUGGAUGCAGAUAAUAGAAGUGAUUAUGAUUGGUCCUUGGUUUCAUAACAGUGUCAGUCUGGACCAACUUAUUAAGGUAAGAGAUGUCAAUCUGCAUCAGGGCUAAGCUAAGGGCCACGACUCAUUAAUGUGAGUUUGCUAGUCCAUGCAGGUAACUGUCAGCAUUUACUGCCAGCAAGUUGAGGGAGGUGACGUUCCCCUUCUACUCCACUCUGAUGAGACCCCCAGCUGCAGCGCUGCAUCCAGCCUGGGGGCCCCAGCAUAAGGACAAGGACUUGGAGUCACAGAGGAGGCCACAGAGAUGAUCAGAGAGGUGCUCCAGCCCUCUUCCCAAAAGGAGAUGCAGGCAGACCCUGUAACUGCAGUUACCAUGGGGAGCAAGUCUCUGUAUAACCAGGUUUGCAACAAACACAUUGCAAGAAUGCAUAUUUAAAGUUAUGGGAAAAUUGCACCGCAGUAAAUAUUCAAGAUAAAUUUGUAAUUCCUAUUUAACAUCAAAACAGAAAACUAAAAUUUUUCAAUGUGUGUGUGCCACAAACCCUUCCCUAGAAUUAUGUGAAACACAGACUUUACAUUUCUCUGGCAAAAAAGGGUAAAAAAAAUCAAUAUGUGAUAAAGCAAAUUACAACAGAAAUUUUAGGUAAAGUAACACAUAUAGGCAUUCCUUUCUGCUGCCUAAACCCUUCAGCACUUUUGUGUAAGGUAUGCACCGUGUGAGAGUCAGUGCAUUCCAUUAAGGAAGUGUUGAAAGGCAGGAUUUUUUAUAACAGCAUGGUAUUUUGACGUUGCCAUCUUCUUUCUUUUUGCCGAGCCUGCCAGUGAGUUUUGCCUCCACAGAAUAUAAUUUUCAAUGAAUUGGAAUUGUCUGUGAAAAUUCUUGCCACAACAUUUCCCUCUAGCUCCUUUCCAGAAGCUUUAGACUGUAAAGUUCUAAUGUCAUAUUAAAACAGAAGCACAGUUAUAAAUGUCUACUGGGUUUGCAGAUUGUUAAGAUCUCACACCUAUUUCCCUUAAUACAUUGCUUUUUUUUUUUCAUCUUGCACUUUCACCGCAGGCAUACUUUCCAAACUUGCUUUGCAGAUACAACUUGCUUCAGUUUUCAAUUAACAUUGUGGUGCAUUGUUGGAUAAAAUAGUGUCCCACAUCAAUUUGAAUAGGAUUUGCUCAUUGGGCUGUGCUGGCAAAACUCUAAGUUCACUUCUUAAGCGCCGAUCUGAAAGAACAGCAAAACCCCAACCCCGAGGCCAAACACCUGCCAGGGCUGAUGCGAUAGGGAUGGGGCCAGGGAGAGUCAGGACGGGCUUCUGCCUACAAAAAGACUUGGAAAGGUGUUGGCUUUGGUUGUAAGGCAGACAAGCCUAGACCCUGAAAAAAUGUUUUUAUUUUUUUAAACAAUGAAAUAAUUAAAAUAAUUUGAAACAUCAUAAUAUAAAUUAUAUUAUAGUAAUUAUUACUUUUAAAAACACUUGUUUAAAUGUUGUACAAUAUAUUACUGAAGCCAGUUAUCCCAUCUGGAGUGUGUAAAGUCAAGCACAUGUGUCUGUUUUUGCAAGACAUGGGCUGUAAUUUACAACUUGGAUUUCUAGAGCUGUGCUCCCACACAGAAAACACCGUCAAGAGGUCCCUCAUGCCACAAACCCACGGGGAGGAUUGUCUGCAUUGCAGUGAGAGGUCCAGUGAGUUACAGGUUUCAGCCUCUGAAAAUGAGACUUUAGAAAAUGGGAUUUAGAAGUUUUGAAAUCUGAUAACAAGCUGUUACGUUACAUCGGCAAUAGAAAUACAAAACCAUGACUGUAACAGUUGACUAUGGUAAACACAUAAGGAUUGAAUUUUCAGGUUAUUAAAAAACAAUGCUUAUUUAAGAUCCUUUCUGAAUUAGGUACAUUAUAUUUUGCAUUUUUGACAGGGAUGUGAGAAUUCCAUUUCUGUCAGGACUUAAUUACAUGUCAAAGAUUGAGGAGGGCUGCAACACUGGUAAAAUCUGGCCCUGGAAGUUUGUGAAGCUAGAGUUUUUUAAAAGUGUUUUCUCUUUUUGAUUUAGGAGCUGAAACAGCUUUCUCUGUCAGCAAGGGUUUUGUUUCUUCAGCUUCAUGGAAAAUCUAGAAAAGCCAGAGUUGCUAAUCAGGCAAGUAUGAUUUUACUUGCAGGUUCUUUUUUUGCAAGAUGUAUUAUUCAAAACACACAGAUAUUUCUAUUUCUUUAACAGACCAAUUUGAUGUUUCAAACUUCCAUGAGAUUUUCAAAAAAAGCAUGACACCCAAGCAAAAAGCACAAGGUACUUUCAACAGUCAUAUAAGACUUCAAUUGCUUUUAUACACACAGAAAGUGGAAGGAGCAAAAGGCAACUUCAGGUGUCACCCCUAAAAUCUGUAGGGCUUUCUGUCCUGCCUUACCUCAGGGAAAAGUCUUUGCAAAUUCUUACCCGCCUGAUACGGAGAGUUAUAAGCCAAGGGAAGGAAUACAGAUAAAUAAUACCAGCACAAUUAUAGGCAAUUUAUUUUUCCUUGGUGUAAACAAAAUAAUGUGGAAUAGGCUGGAAUGCAAGCCAGGAUUUGCUUCUGCUUGUGGAUGUCACCAGCAGUUAUAUUAGGGUUGGUGUUACCAUGGCCAUCAGGCCUUAAGGACCGGAGAGGGCUUGGAGUGCCUCAUACGUGGGCCUAUAGGGAGACAAAAAUUAAAAAAAACAGAUGAUGCUCUGAAAAAAGGAAUUAUACCUGAUUUGUUUUCUUACGUAAUUUUUGCAAAGUCUCUAGUAAAUUAAAGGAUUCCUUGCCACUUGCAGACCAUUCUUGCCUUUUGGAACAUGUUUUGUCACACCUUAUAAUACUUUUGAUAAAAAGGGAUAAAAUCAGUCUUCCCAGGAGGAAGGAUAUAGGAAGCGUUUGCAUGAAGAAGACAGCAGGACAGGGCAUGCCUGCCAUCAUCUUGGCAGUGCUAAGGAAACCAGCAGGGAGCAAGAGGUCUUGCUCAUAGAAGGCGAGCAAAGGCUGUCACUCUCAGGAUUUUUCUCUCUCUCAAGGAAGAUCCAUCCCCAUUUCUGGUCUGUUCUCAAGCUAGCACAGAUCAUUGCUGCUGCCUGCUGCCCUGAGGCUGCACACCUCCUGGGGCAGAGGCCUCUUGCCUUUGGAAAGCAAUCUGAACAAUAAUGGAAAUAAAGAGUUCUUCUCUCUGCUCAAUCAAUAUUAAAAUAAUUUUAUAAAAUGGAAGAGGUUCAAACAUUUUCAGUAUGAAAGCACAGUGACAGAAUACAAAUACCACAGAGAAAUACAUGAUAGGCUCCAGACUUCUUGUGAGUGUAAUAUCCUCCAUGAGGCUGUAGCUGCUAGCAGCCGCUGAAAUGUUACAGGCUCAGAAAUCUGUAAAAUAUAUUAGCUGGCAAUAUGUCCUUGAUAUCCUCAGAAGUACUUGCCAGAAGCUUAUUUCAGAUCUAAGUCUGUUUCAAGCAUUUUAAAAGCUAAUUCACCUUUUGAGCAUAGGCUACAUGUAAAUUUCCACUACGAACCUGCAAUGCCGAAGAGCCAAUUUCGUAUCGAUUCAGAUACAUGUGGCAGUUCAAGCCUUCCAAUUUAAUUCUCAUUUUAUUGGUGUUUUAUUCCUCAUUCAUUCCUGAGUUACCUUACCACAGAAGUUUUAUUUGUGUUUGUUCAAGUAGGUUUUUUCCCGUGCCAGAAGUCUAAGAUGGAUAGGUAUGCCACUUUGUUUUCUUUAGGAAAAUAUCUGGAGCUUCCGCACUUGUACUCGGCACGUUUAGCAGUCAGUGUUUGGAUCAACGCUUGGAUUGCAUCCCUGACUCUUGUCUUGGACAACCAAGCAAGCUAUUGAUGUCCUUUGAUUUUCACUACUAAGCAAUUUUGUCCAGUGGGUGACAUAACUUCUGUGGUAUUUCUGGAAAGAAGCUUUCUUCAGAAAUCACUCUUUUUAAAGGAAUUACUUUGUCCUUUCCUAAAUAUUUCUUGUGUUAUACUUCCAUUAAUCAGCUAACAAUCUUCAAAUUCAGAAUACAAAGCAAUCUCUAUUUUCUCUCAUCUGUUGUGAGGCCAUAUUAUGGCAUAAAUAGCAUCCAAUUACAUUAGUGCUGGGAAACACGUUAUAGCUUAAUUACAAAAAUAACAUGGGAAUCAUGUCAUUGAUAAGGCAUAUGGAAAUGGAAUUGUUAAAUGUCAUCUUGGGAGGUUUUCUAGGAACAGUGGAAAUAGCUGGCUUUAUUAACUGGCAUACAGAAAAAGAAGAACUAGCCCGCUUAAAACCAUAAGGAUGCAGUUAUCCAUCCUCCCCUCCCUCCGUCACUGCUUCCUAGCAAAAUGGAUCCCAUUUUAUACAAAAGCACACAAAACACUGCCGACUGGGAUUUAUUUAGGAAUUGCUGAUUCAUAUUCACUUACUGAGGUGUGGGAUCUAAUACUUGAAAAAAGCCACCCAUCCUCCAGUUUUGUUAUGUGCAGUAAGGAUUUUACUUUUCUCACGUAACUUGCUUUGCUAAGGGCGAUGCACAACGCCUGUUUAUGCAAUGCAGUCUCAGAUAAUUUGUACAUUUGUGAGGAGCUCAUUUUGGCUUAAGACAAACAACCUCUUCCAUGGAUGUCAACAGCAAGAAGCAACAAGUGAUGGGGAGCUCAGGGUAAGGAACUGUCAUGGGAAGGCUGUAACUGGAGGACUUGUAGGUUAUACUGGUGUCACCACCAGCAUCCUCACCUAAGAAGUUACCUGCUCCUAUGCUAGGCAAGCUAUUAAAAUGGAGAGCAUAUAUUUCAGCUCUGAAAUGUUAGAGUGAGCUAAACACAAGCCAAACAGAGCACUUGGAACCAAAGCAAGGAAUGUGCAUAGGACAGCAACUGUUUUCAGCAGGAGACCAGCAGGCACUGGCACCCUGUAAAGUAGGAUUGCUGGAGCUCUGUGAGGUCGUGCUCAAACUUUGAAUUUCACCCUAAGUAGCAUUUAAAUAUUUCUUCCUGUGCCUCCCACCCCCUCCUCAUUGCACGCCAAUAGGUCUCAAAAUUCUCUCCUGGAGUGCUAUUGUCAGCACCUUUUUUUUUUUUCCUGUUUCUCUCCCUCUCUUGCUUUUCUUUAUUUUUAAAUAAAAAUUCAUCAAUGUUUUCUGUGGACCCUGUGCCCUCUUCUUCCUUGCUUCCCCAAGAAAGCAAACAACCCCCCAAAAUGCUAGUCUCAGCUAUGCCUGCAGAGUCUACCUGGGAACUGGAUUACAGCCAGUCUCAUCACUGGUCCCCCCGCUGGAGGAGGGGGAUCCUGGGCUGUCCUCUUACAGCAGCUGUAUGUUCCUGUUGUGUACGCUAUGAGCAAAGGGAGUAGGGGAGUCUGCAGGUCUAGCGCUAAUCAUGUGAAUUUGACCAUGGCCCAGCAAUCCUCUCUCACUACUCUUUCGGUAGCUCUGGAGCCAGGUGGUCCCACAGCCCCAGCUAACCCAAGUUAGCCUGGAGGACCCCUGAGCACGUGCCUGGGCUGAGAGAAUCUGCAGCAGUGAGCUGCCAGCAGUGGGCAUGGCUCAGUGACAUUAGUGCCCCCGAGCGCACUAAUAGGGCUUAAUGGCCCUGACCAGGCUCACCUGGGACUCCCACCCCCAGGUCCCAUUUCAGCUUCAGCCUGGUGGUUCGGUCCUUCCUUGAGCUGUUCCGGAGCAGUACCCGUCUCCUGCAUUGACCCUGGACAUGUGCUACAGGCAGCUGGUCUCCUUGACACCUCCCCUUGAAGGUGGGUUCCCAUCUCCUGGAUGAGCUUUAGGUGCAUGUUACAGUCCUUCCUUCUGCUCCCUGCUGGGCUCCCUGGGUGGAGCCUGGGCCUGGGUCAUUGCUCUCCUUCUCCUGGGCUGUUGAUGGAUCCCGUCAGCAGCCCCUGGUUCUGGCUGCGCCGCUGAGACCCCGUGGGACCGUGCUUUGCUGCUGAAGGCAUGGUGUGCACUGGGGUCACCGCUGGCUUCUAGCUUGUCCACCUCCUGCAGAAACCCCAGUUUUGCUGUUUCCUGAUGCAUCCUGUGGCAAAGUCCUGAUUUUGGAGUUCCAUUUAAUCAUGGCUGGCUUUGCAUUCCCAUGGUGUUACAAGCUGCCUUCUGGCUUGUGUUUGAAUGGAGCAUGAGCCUGGAACAGCUGUUUUGGGAUGGGAAACAGAAAACCAAGGAUAAAAUAGAUGUUUUCUAAACAUUCACUCUAGCCUUGGCAGUGAGUUGUGACAUGGAACUAAAUUGCAGGAUGGCAGCCAUAGCAGAAGACAUCUCAGAUGUUUUGUAUUUCAGUUGUUUUGAAGUUCAUUCUCUCUAAAGCACGCUUGGUUUAUCUCCAGUUCAUGCUGCUACUGUAAAUGGAGCAAGGGUUCAAACAACAUGCCUCCUCAGCUACAACGGCAGAGCUCAGAAGCAGCAGCUGGUCAGACUGUUGCUGCAGCAGCAGCUGUAGCGAGGUCAGGUGCUGUGGGCUCUGAGCUCCCUGACCCUCUGCUAGAUAGUACCCGUGGAGCUGAGCUUGCAGGAUGUAGCGCUUGAUUGCUAACAAGUUGGCUGAGUUAGUCCAAACCAUCUCCCCCAGUGGUUUCAAGCAAUGCGAUUACCUGGUGUAGCUGAGGAGUGCUGGCAGGGUCACGCAGCCUGCCCCAGCUGCCGUGGGGAGGAAGGAGGGGAUGCCUGAGGUAAAGAGGCAUCGCACCUCAAGCUCUACAUGUCUGUAUGCAGUGUGUAGCUGCAGCACUUGACUAAAGUUGAUGAAGUAAAACAUAUUAAAAAUGUUUUUCCAAAUGAUGAAAGAUCAGUCGAUUAUGUAAACUGGAAGAGGUGAAGGAAGGAAAGCAAUGGUAUUAAAGAAAUACAGAAGGUAACUUGGAUGUGCCCUGAGAACUGAACUGAUACUUGCAGUUUUCAGUGUUGUUGAUAAGCAAAGGCAGGUAUGAUAAAGGGAUUGAAGUAUGGAAAAGGCUUAAACCCCCCCCAACAAUAAUAAUAAUAAUAA